ACACGUGGGUAACCUGCCUGUAAGACUGGGAUAACUCCGGGAAACCGGGGCUAAUACCGGAUGCUUGAUUGAACCGCAUGGUUCAAUCAUAAAAGGUGGCUUUUAGCUACCACUUGCAGAUGGACCCGCGGCGCAUUAGCUAGUUGGUGAGGUAACGGCUCACCAAGGCGACGAUGCGUAGCCGACCUGAGAGGGUGAUCGGCCACACUGGGACUGAGACACGGCCCAGACUCCUACGGGAGGCAGCAGUAGGGAAUCUUCCGCAAUGGACGAAAGUCUGACGGAGCAACGCCGCGUGAGUGAUGAAGGUUUUCGGAUCGUAAAACUCUGUUGUUAGGGAAGAACAAGUACCGUUCGAAUAGGGCGGCACCUUGACGGUACCUAACCAGAAAGCCACGGCUAACUACGUGCCAGCAGCCGCGGUAAUACGUAGGUGGCAAGCGUUGUCCGGAAUUAUUGGGCGUAAAGCGCGCGCAGGCGGUUUCUUAAGUCUGAUGUGAAAGCCCCCGGCUCAACCGGGGAGGGUCAUUGGAAACUGGGGAACUUGAGUGCAGAAGAGGAGAGUGGAAUUCCACGUGUAGCGGUGAAAUGCGUAGAGAUGUGGAGGAACACCAGUGGCGAAGGCGACUCUCUGGUCUGUAACUGACGCUGAGGCGCGAAAGCGUGGGGAGCGAACAGGAUUAGAUACCCUGGUAGUCCACGCCGUAAACGAUGAGUGCUAAGUGUUAGAGGGUUUCCGCCCUUUAGUGCUGCAGCAAACGCAUUAAGCACUCCGCCUGGGGAGUACGGUCGCAAGACUG
RNAcentral lists this ribosomal RNA (800 nucleotides) under Bacillus licheniformis. RNAcentral's name for it is "bacterial SSU rRNA". It matches the Rfam family "Bacterial small subunit ribosomal RNA", at positions 113 to 896 of the family's 1533-position model. Lineage: Bacteria; Bacillati; Bacillota; Bacilli; Caryophanales; Bacillaceae. The record is from RNAcentral.